GGCAACUGCUACUAUCUAUAUAUUUUAAGGUGUAGUUAAGAUUAAACAAGUCAGUCAAUUCAAUCUUCUUUAGAAGUUUUGAGUCCUCACCUUGAGGCCUCCAUCCUUCUUGUUUUUGUAGGGAUUAUAAAUAUUAUAAAAGGGUGAUCAUUGCAAGGGACAAUAUAGACUGCUCCCAAUUCAGUUCUAUCUGUUUGCCUUUUGUUUCAUGAAUGAUUUGUGAUGAUCGGAGUUAUUUGACUGCCAAAAUCUUUGUUUAUGCCAUAUAUCUGGAAAUAUCAGUACUGGUAGUAGUGAAAAGAAUUAAUUGAUUUUGAUGACCAACUGUGAAAAUGCAUUACUGGUAUAAUUAUGGUUAGUUGACACAGUAAGUCAAGUUUUAUUUUAUUAUUUUGGUACAACAGAGUAAGUUAAAUUAAAA
Molecule: unclassified non-coding RNA, 421 nt
Filed under: Hevea brasiliensis (rubber tree)
Lineage: Eukaryota; Viridiplantae; Streptophyta; Magnoliopsida; Malpighiales; Euphorbiaceae
Source: RNAcentral